CCGGCAUCGCCUUUCCGCAGGAGCGGCUGGAGCAUCCCCGCGCUGCCGCCGAGGCGAGGGGCAGCUCCGCCGGGCAGCCCCGGCUGGUGCAGCCCCCGGGGCGGCGAUGGCAGCACGGGCACCCCGCACGCCGGACGAGGAUGAGGACGAUGCCCAAACCGGAUCCUCCUAGCGUGGGAAAGGCGCGGGCAGCCGGCGUCGGCCGCGGGGAUU
This 213-nucleotide long non-coding RNA is filed under the name Taeniopygia guttata (zebra finch). Its description in RNAcentral is "lncRNA (ENSTGUG00000026226.1)". Lineage: Eukaryota; Metazoa; Chordata; Aves; Passeriformes; Estrildidae. The record is from RNAcentral.